GGAAUAUUGCGCAAUGGGCGAAAGCCUGACGCAGCGACGCCGCGUGGGUGAUGACGGCCUUCGGGUCGUAAAGCCCUGUCGGGAGGGAAGAAAUCUCGCCGGUCUAACAUGCCGGCGACUUGACGGUACCUCCUAAGGAAGCACCGGCUCACUCCGGCCCAGCAGCCGCGGUAAUACGGAGGGUGCAAGCGUGGGUCGGAAUCACGGGGCGUAAAGCGCGUGUAGGCGGCCAUUUAAGUCUGGUGUGAAAGCCCUGGGCUCAACCCAGGAAGUGCACUGGAUACUGGAUGGCUGGAGUACCGGAGAGGAGGGUGGAAUUCCUGGUGUAGCGGUGAAAUGCGUAGAUAUCAGGAGGAACACCGGUGGCGAAGGCGUCCCUCUGGCCGGAUACUGACGCUGAGACGCGAAAGCGUGGGGAGCAAA
This 423-nucleotide ribosomal RNA is filed under the name uncultured bacterium. RNAcentral's name for it is "bacterial SSU rRNA". It matches the Rfam family "Bacterial small subunit ribosomal RNA", at positions 358 to 772 of the family's 1533-position model. The record is from RNAcentral.